GGGAAUGUGGCUUAGUGGUAGAGUGCUUGCCUUGCACGCAUGAAGUCCUAGGUUUGAUUCCUCAGUACCA
Molecule: transfer RNA, 70 nt
Filed under: Dipodomys ordii (Ord's kangaroo rat)
Lineage: Eukaryota; Metazoa; Chordata; Mammalia; Rodentia; Heteromyidae
Rfam family: tRNA
About the family: Transfer RNA (tRNA) molecules are approximately 80 nucleotides in length. Their secondary structure includes four short double-helical elements and three loops (D, anti-codon, and T loops). Further hydrogen bonds mediate the characteristic L-shaped molecular structure. tRNAs have two regions of fundamental functional importance: the anti-codon, which is responsible for specific mRNA codon recognition, and the 3' end, to which the tRNAs corresponding amino acid is attached (by aminoacyl-tRNA synthetases). tRNAs cope with the degeneracy of the genetic code in two manners: having more than one tRNA (with a specific anti-codon) for a particular amino acid; and 'wobble' base-pairing, i.e. permitting non-standard base-pairing at the 3rd anti-codon position.
Source: Rfam by way of RNAcentral